CCUACGGGUGGCAGCAGUGGGGAAUAUUGCACAAUGGGCGAAAGCCUGAUGCAGCAACGCCGCGUGAGCGAUGAAGGCCUUCGGGUCGUAAAGCUCUGUCCGCAAGGAAGAGAAUGACGGUACUUGAGGAGGAAGCCCCGGCUAACUACGGGCCAGCAGCCGCGGUAAUACGUAGGGGGCUAGCGUUAUCCGGAAUUACUGGGCGUAAAGGGUGCGUAGGUGGUUUCUUAAGUCAGUGGUGAAAGGCUACGGCUCAACCGUAGGAAGCCUUUGAAACUGGGGAACUUGAGUGCAGGAGAGGCGAGUGGAAUUCCUAGUGUAGCGGUGAAAUGCGUAGAUAUUAGGAGGACCACCAGUGGCGAAGGCGGCUUACUGGACUGUACCUGACGUUGCGGCUCGAAAGCGUGGGGAGCAAACAGGAUUAGAUACCCUGGUAGUC
This 439-nucleotide ribosomal RNA is filed under the name uncultured bacterium. RNAcentral describes it as "partial 16S ribosomal RNA". It matches the Rfam family "Bacterial small subunit ribosomal RNA", at positions 338 to 795 of the family's 1533-position model. The record is from RNAcentral.